RNAcentral lists this ribosomal RNA (429 nucleotides) under Chloroflexota bacterium. RNAcentral's name for it is "Chloroflexi bacterium partial 16S ribosomal RNA". It matches the Rfam family "Bacterial small subunit ribosomal RNA", at positions 355 to 776 of the family's 1533-position model. The record is from RNAcentral. Lineage: Bacteria; Bacillati; Chloroflexota.
UAGGGAAUCUUCGGCAAUGGACGAAAGUCUGACCGAGCAACGCCGCGUGAGUGAAGAAGGUUUUCGGAUCGUAAAACUCUGUUGUUAGAGAAGAACAAGGACGUUAGUAACUGAACGUCCCCUGACGGUAUCUAACCAGACAGCCACGGCUAACUACGUGCCAGCAGCCGCGGUAAUACGUAGGUGGCAAGCGUUGUCCUGAUUUAUUGGGCGUAAAGCGAGCGCAGGCGGUUUCUUAAGUCUGAUGUGAAAGCCCCCGGCUCAACCGGGGAGGGUCAUUGGAAACUGGGAGACUUGAGUGCAGAAGAGGAGAGUGGAAUUCCAUGUGUAGCGGUGAAAUGCGUAGAUAUAUGGAGGAACACCAGUGGCGAAGGCGGCUCUCUGGUCUGUAACUGACGCUGAGGCUCGAAAGCGUGGGGAGCAAACAGG